Molecule: ribosomal RNA, 301 nt
Filed under: uncultured bacterium
Lineage: Bacteria
Description: partial 16S ribosomal RNA
Rfam family: Bacterial small subunit ribosomal RNA
Source: RNAcentral
CAGCCGCCGCGGGAAUACGAAGGGGGCUAGCGUUGCUCGGAAUGACUGGGCGUAAAGGGCGCGUAGGCGGAUGGCACAGUCAGAUGUGAAAUUCCCGGGCUUAACCUGGGGGCUGCAUUUGAUACGUGUUGUCUAGAGUGAGGAAGAGGGUCGUGGAAUUCCCGGUGUAGAGGUGAAAUUCGUAGAUAUUGGGAAGAACACCGGUGGCGAAGGCGGCGACCUGGUCCUUUACUGACGCUGAGGCGCGAAAGCGUGAGGAGCAAACAGGAUUAGAUACCCGCGUAGUCCCUGUCUCUUAUAC